This 236-nucleotide long non-coding RNA is filed under the name Ananas comosus (pineapple). RNAcentral describes it as "long non-coding RNA (ACOM_LNC004954)". The record is from RNAcentral. Lineage: Eukaryota; Viridiplantae; Streptophyta; Magnoliopsida; Poales; Bromeliaceae.
AUAAUAUUCUUCAACUUAUUAAUCGACACAUUUAAAAUUUUUAAUUUAUUUAAUUUUAAUAUGUAAAUCAAACUUUAAAAUUUAAACGAUUCUCUCUUUUUUUUUUAUCAAAUUUAAUAAUUAUAAUUAAUUAAAACUUAUUAAAUUAACAUACACGAUCACAUUCUAUAAAAAUUUAGAAAAAAAAAACUAUAUUUAUAUUUUAAAUAAAAUAAAUUUAAAAAAUUUAAUUUUUU